This 442-nucleotide ribosomal RNA is filed under the name uncultured bacterium. RNAcentral describes it as "partial 16S ribosomal RNA". It matches the Rfam family "Bacterial small subunit ribosomal RNA", at positions 338 to 795 of the family's 1533-position model. The record is from RNAcentral.
CCUACGGGAGGCAGCAGUAGGGAAUCUUUCACAAUGGGCGAAAGCCUGAUGGAGCAACGCCGCGUGCAGGAUGAAGGCCUUCGGGUUGUAAACUGCUUUUAUAAGCGAGAAAUAUGAUGGUAACUUAUGAAUAAGGAUCGGCUAACUACGUGCCAGCAGCCGCGGUCAUACGUAGGAUCCGAGCAUUAUCCGGAGUGACUGGGUGUAAAGAGUUGCGUAGGUGGCAUAAUAAGUAGCUAGUGGAAUCUGGUGGCUUAACCAUUCAGACUAUUAGCUAAACUAUUAAGCUCGAGACCGUUAGGGGUAACUGGAAUUGCUAGUGUAGGAGUGAAAUCCGUAGAUAUUAGAAGGAACACCAAUAGCGUAGGCAGGUUGCUGGGACGGUUCUGACACUAAGGCACGAAAGCGUAGGGAGCAAACGGGAUUAGAUACCCCGGUAGUC